CCUACGGGUGGCUGCAGUGGGGAAUAUUGCGCAAUGGGCGAAAGCCUGACGCAGCGACGCCGCGUGUGGGAUGAAGGUCUUCGGAUCGUAAACCUCUGUCAGCAGGGAAGAACGGUCACUGUGCUAAUCAGCAGUGAAUUGACGGUACCUGCAAAGGAAGCACCGGCUAACUCCGUGCCAGCAGCCGCGGUAAUACGGAGGGUGCGAGCGUUAAUCGGAAUUACUGGGCGUAAAGCGCUCGUAGGCGGUGUGUUGAGUCAAAGGUGAAAUCCCCGGGCUCAACGUGGGAACUGCAUUUGAAACUGGCAAACUGGAGUGUUGUAGAGGAGAGUGGAAUUCCAGGUGUAGGAGUGAAAUGCGUAGAGAUCUGGAGGAACAUCAGUGGCGAAGGCGACCAUCUGGCACAUAACUGACGCUGAGGUGCGAAAGCGUGGGUAGCAAACAGGAUUAGAUACCCCAGUAGUC
RNAcentral lists this ribosomal RNA (465 nucleotides) under uncultured bacterium. Its description in RNAcentral is "partial 16S ribosomal RNA". It matches the Rfam family "Bacterial small subunit ribosomal RNA", at positions 338 to 795 of the family's 1533-position model. The record is from RNAcentral.